This 253-nucleotide ribosomal RNA is filed under the name uncultured bacterium. Its description in RNAcentral is "partial 16S ribosomal RNA". It matches the Rfam family "Bacterial small subunit ribosomal RNA", at positions 524 to 776 of the family's 1533-position model. The record is from RNAcentral.
UACGUAGGGUGCGAGCGUUGUCCGGAUUUAUUGGGCGUAAAGAGCUUGUAGGCGGCUCGUCGCGUCGGGUGUGAAAACUUGCGGCUCAACCGCAAGCCUGCACCCGAUACGGGCGGGCUAGAGUUCGGCAGGGGAGACUGGAAUUCCUGGUGUAGCGGUGGAAUGCGCAGAUAUCAGGAGGAACACCGGUGGCGAAGGCGGGUCUCUGGGCCGAUACUGACGCUGAGAAGCGAAAGCGUGGGGAGCAAACAGG